Molecule: ribosomal RNA, 388 nt
Filed under: uncultured bacterium
Lineage: Bacteria
Description: bacterial SSU rRNA
Rfam family: Bacterial small subunit ribosomal RNA
Source: RNAcentral
CCUUCGGGUUGUAAAGUACUUUCAGCAGUGAGGAAGGUUGGAUUAUGUUAAUAGCAUAUUCAUUUUGACGUUAGCUGCAGAAGAAGCACCGGCUAACUCCGUGCCAGCAGCCGCGGUAAUACGGAGGGUGCGAGCGUUAAUCGGAAUUACUGGGCGUAAAGCGCAUGCAGGUGGUUUGUUAAGUCAGAUGUGAAAGCCCGGGGCUCAACCUCGGAAUUGCAUUUGAAACUGGCAAACUAGAGUACUGUAGAGGGGGUAGAAUUUCAGGUGUAGCGGUGAAAUGCGUAGAGAUCUGAAGGAAUACCGGUGGCGAAGGCGGCCCCCUGGACAGAUACUGACACUCAGAUGCGAAAGCGUGGGGAGCAAACAGGAUUAGCUACCCUGGUAG